This 416-nucleotide ribosomal RNA is filed under the name Microthlaspi perfoliatum. RNAcentral describes it as "eukaryotic LSU rRNA". The stretch from base 276 to 416 matches the Rfam family "Eukaryotic large subunit ribosomal RNA", at positions 1 to 141 of the family's 3401-position model. Lineage: Eukaryota; Viridiplantae; Streptophyta; Magnoliopsida; Brassicales; Brassicaceae. The record is from RNAcentral.
UGCAGAAUCCCGUGAACCAUCGAGUCUUUGAACGCAAGUUGCGCCCUAAGCCUUCUGGCCGAGGGCACGUCUGCCUGGGUGUCACAAAUCGUCGUCCCCUAUCCUCCUCUAAGGAUACAGGACGGAAACUGGUCUCCCGUGUGUUACCGUACGCGGUUGGCCAAAAUCCGAGCUAAGGACGCCGGGAGCGUCUCGACAUGCGGUGGUGAAUUCAAGCCUCUUCAUACUGUCGAACGCUCUCGUCCGAAGCUUUAGAUGACCCAAUGUCCUCAACGCGACCCCAGGUCAGGCGGGAUCACCCGCUGAGUUUAAGCAUAUCAAUAAGCGGAGGAAAAGAAACUAACAAGGAUUCCCUUAGUAACGGCGAGCGAACCGGGAAGAGCCCAGCUUGAAAAUCGGACGUCUUUGGCGUUCGA